GUGAUAAUAGCAUAGUGGUGUGAGUGCUGGACUCUGACUCUGGAAACCAGGGUUCAAUUCCCUGCUUGCCAUG
Non-coding RNA from Phrynosoma platyrhinos (Desert horned lizard), 73 nucleotides. The record is from the annotation of a GenBank genome assembly. Lineage: Eukaryota; Metazoa; Chordata; Lepidosauria; Squamata; Phrynosomatidae.